GCGGGAGUAGUUCAGCGGUAGAAUGUCUCCCUUCCAAGGAGAAGGUCGCCGGUUCAAAUCCGGUCUCCCGCUCCA
RNAcentral lists this transfer RNA (75 nucleotides) under Candidatus Levyibacteriota bacterium. RNAcentral describes it as "tRNA-Gly". It matches the Rfam family "tRNA". Rfam says of the family: Transfer RNA (tRNA) molecules are approximately 80 nucleotides in length. Their secondary structure includes four short double-helical elements and three loops (D, anti-codon, and T loops). Further hydrogen bonds mediate the characteristic L-shaped molecular structure. tRNAs have two regions of fundamental functional importance: the anti-codon, which is responsible for specific mRNA codon recognition, and the 3' end, to which the tRNAs corresponding amino acid is attached (by aminoacyl-tRNA synthetases). tRNAs cope with the degeneracy of the genetic code in two manners: having more than one tRNA (with a specific anti-codon) for a particular amino acid; and 'wobble' base-pairing, i.e. permitting non-standard base-pairing at the 3rd anti-codon position. The record is from RNAcentral. Lineage: Bacteria; Candidatus Levyibacteriota.